This 843-nucleotide long non-coding RNA is filed under the name Sus scrofa (pig). Its description in RNAcentral is "lncRNA (ENSSSCG00040031473.1)". The record is from RNAcentral. Lineage: Eukaryota; Metazoa; Chordata; Mammalia; Artiodactyla; Suidae.
GUCGAAUCAGAGAUGCAGCUGCUGGCCUACACCAUAGCCAUGGCAACGCCAGAUCCAAGCCGCAUAUGUGACCUACACCACAGCUCACGGCAACACUGGAUUCUUAACCACACUGAGCAAGGCCAAGGACGGAACGUGAAUCCUCAUGGAUACUGGUCAGGUUCUUAACCCAAAGAGCCACAACGGGAACUCCUCAGGCAUUUAAUAUAGACUUUACAGCAGAAAGAAGUAUCACAGAGAAUAUCCCAGUUUUCUGUGAUGAAAGGAUAACAUGACGCCUAUUUUGCAGGCGGGGAAACUGAGGCCCAGACCAGUUGGACCCUCCAGCAGUCGAGACACAGGCAGGACCGAAGAGUCAAAUCAACCUUGCUGAGAAGUGCAUCAAGUUUAAAACCAGACCUUCGAAAGGACGUCCUGCAGUUUUAAACAUGAUGCAAAAUAUAAACAAAUUACUGCACUGGACACCGCCCAGCUGCGGGGAAUCCAAAAGUCAACGGCAGGGAACAAGACAUCACCGCCGGAUGCUGUGUUUCACCAAGUCAGAGAAGCAAGGGACAGCUCGCUCCGUAGGGAGACCGAGCGGUGGGGUCAUGGCCAAACCCAGGGCUGGAGAUGGGCCUGGGGCCGGGAGGGUGUUUCCUGUUGCUGCUGUAAUGGUCUUCAUGAACGAAGUGGCUUAAAACAACACAAGUUUAAUUUUUGUUGUUUUAUUUGAAAACAGAUUUAUUGAGAUAUGAUUAACCCAGCAUACGGUUCACCCAUUGAAGGUAUACAAUUCAGAGGUUUUUCGUGUAUUCACAGAUAUGGAUAAUCAUCACCAUAGCCAAAGAUAAAACAUUUUUC